AAUGGUUUAUGCCCAGCUAGUGGGAAGGUGAAUAAUACGUAAAGGAGCUGGGAUCUACACAUAACGUUGGAUGACACAGACAUUGUACUUCAGAGUCUCGAAGCAUUUUGCCUUGGCACUGUCAUCUUCCGGACAGGAGCAUCUGGGCUCACUCCUGGCAUCUCGGAUCUAUUGCCCUGCAGUCCCCUCCGGGCACUGGAGCAGCGUCACGGUACAGACAAGUAGAGCCAGCACAGAGUGCAGCCACUGAGCCGACUGCAUUGCCUACCUAACCUUGAGGUUUAGAGCGAGUCUGGGAAUUUGAGCAAGGGAGAGAGAGAAAGCUUAUGUUCAUCCCCAAAUUGAAGGCUCAACAGCCGGCUUGAGAAAAAUGAGUUGCCGAAAGCCGAAAUUCUUCAGAGAGAAUUUUCCCAAAGUGACGUUUGACAUUGCCCUGUUUGUUUAUUUUCUUACUGGCCAAAGGGCCAACUCCAUAUUGUGUCCUAAUUAAACAGGAUAACAAAAUAGA
RNAcentral lists this long non-coding RNA (508 nucleotides) under Sus scrofa (pig). RNAcentral describes it as "lncRNA (ENSSSCG00040013431.1)". The record is from RNAcentral. Lineage: Eukaryota; Metazoa; Chordata; Mammalia; Artiodactyla; Suidae.